GACAGUACCGGUGCAGGCAGCCUGGCUCGCAUCACAGCAGGUAGAGGGAGAAAGCCUCUCCCUCUCUCGCCGUGCCACAGCCGACUGGGCAGACCCUGCGUGUCCACACAGGAAUUGCUGAUGACGUGGGUAGAGUCUGCCGAGUUGUUCACAUGUGCGCACAUCCUAGCGGACGUGAAUAAGUCUGCUUGGACAUACACAAAAUACCCCUGACAUAGGCAGCUUUUGCCUAGCCAUGCACACAGCUAAUCCGGACAGAGUCACAUUUAUACAUGAUGAUCCCAGAAUUCCAAACCCCCUCCAGCCAGCUCAGGGUCGGGGUGGGCCGAGCUGAGUUUUUGAGAAGAGUCUUUUGGGAGUGAUUUUCAGCAGACGAAGAACACUUCAAACAAGAUUCUGCCCUGACACCAAAUUGUUCAUUAAAAUUAAACCCACAAAGCUGCUUCCACAGAUCCAGAGGCAAUAGACAUUCUGAUCAAUGGAGAAUAGACCCAGAGCAGCCAACUCAGACUCUGAGAGAUGAAAACCAUCACAAAACUAGAAAUUAUGGGAGUUCGGGGUCUCCUGUCUCUAAUUCCAGCUCUCUUCUGUUACAGCAUUUAAGGAAAAAAUUGGAAAUUAAUAGAAUAUUGAACAAAUUAUGGGAUGACUAAUAAAAUAAUUAUUGCACAUUAAAAAUGAUAAAAGGAAUGAACUCAUAGACACAAGGAAAGACUUGUAUGAAUUGAUGCAGAAAGAAAUGAAUGGAAUCAGGAAAACAAUUUCUACAAGAGCAACAACAUUGUAAAGAAAAAUGUCUGUGAAUGAAGAACUCUGACCCACAUAGUGACCACCCGUGACUCCAGAGUACUUAUGAUGAAGGAUUCUACUCAAAACCUGACAGAGAAGUGAUGAAUGUGAGAUGAAGAACAAGACAUACAUUUUAAGACAUAACCAACAUGUGAAUUUGUUUUAUUUGACUUUAUUUUUCCCAAGGGAGGGUAUUUUUAAAAAUUUGAGUGAGGGGAGGAAUUAUGAAUGAA
RNAcentral lists this long non-coding RNA (1022 nucleotides) under Monodelphis domestica (gray short-tailed opossum). RNAcentral's name for it is "lncRNA (ENSMODG00000045553.1)". Lineage: Eukaryota; Metazoa; Chordata; Mammalia; Didelphimorphia; Didelphidae. The record is from RNAcentral.